RNAcentral lists this non-coding RNA (152 nucleotides) under Protocruzia adhaerens. The record is from RNAcentral. Lineage: Eukaryota; Ciliophora; Spirotrichea.
GAAAGAACCGAGGUGACGACUAAUCAAAUAGGGCAAGCAGGGAAUCUUGAGAAGGUCGAAAACUCAGGAACCACUGAAGACGGUCAAGGUAUUCCCAAAAAGAAGAAGAAGAAAAGCAAGGUGAAGGAAGGCGAAGAUGGGAAAGCAGGAGA